Molecule: long non-coding RNA, 913 nt
Filed under: Homo sapiens (human)
Lineage: Eukaryota; Metazoa; Chordata; Mammalia; Primates; Hominidae
Description: HSALNT0334259
Source: RNAcentral
AUUGCCUCAGUGUGGACUCCAAGUGUGAUCUUCACUACUCAAGGUGUGUCCCAGCAGCUGCUGCGGGAGAUGGAUAGAAAUGCAGAUUCCCGGGCUCUACCCGGAAGCGUUGAAUUAGCAUCUGCAUUUACCAAAGUUCCAAAUGAUUCAUGUGCAGGUUAUUGUCUAAGAAGCCUGGACUAGAGAGUUGAGAAGGAACUUGCUGAUAUGUCCUGGCCCAGCUCCUUUUAUAGAUGAAGAAAUCGAGGCUUAGUCACUUGCCCAGUGUCAUAAGUGACAGAGAGACUUAGGGUAGGAUGAAAAUGUGGCUGUCUAGCCUUGGUGACUCUGCUGCCCUGGGAAUAGGAAGGUGACACUCCUCCGCCUUCCCCCUUUCAAAAUGCCGUUCUCCAUGACUCAGCAAAGGAACCAUGGGUCUGAAACCAGAGGUGAGACAAAGAAAACCUCAAAAAUGUUUUGUUUUGUUUUUUUCCUAGAGGAAUUUCCUUUCAUGUCAUUCAUUCCUCUGCUAGGGAAUCCAGGAAGCCUUCGACCUAUGGUUAGCCGGCACUUAAAACAAGGCCUGACACAAAGCAUGCUAUAUAACUAUUGUUAUAUUAUUAUUAAUUAUGGAGCAGUUAUUAAUACCUAGAGACUUGCGUCAACUUGUGUUAAACUUCUCUUUCCAUUUGUUCUAGUCUCACCCCAGAAUUUGUGUGAAUUCUCAAUUAUUCAUGCUGUAGAGGGCUUAAGGGGUCAACUGCAAAUGAGUGAAUAAAUUAAUAAAUCAAAAAGCUUGGGUUCCCCUCUAAAAUGAGAUUAUUGUAAUGGAUGAAGAGGCAUGACUCAGUAGAUGGUUGAUUUGGGAAUAACCACAUCCAGUCUAGAAGGGAGCUGACCCUCAGAAUUUCUAGCUAUGGGAUAGACAGACCUG